AAUCAACGCUGGCGGCGUGCCUAACACAUGCAAGUCGAACGCGAAAGGGGCUUCGGCCCUGAGUAGAGUGGCAAACGGGUGAGUAACACGUGGGUGACCUGCCUCAGAGUGGGGGAUAACGUCCCGAAAGGGACGCUAAUACCGCAUAACAUCCUGCCUUUGGAAAGGCGGAGAUCAAAGCCGGGGAUCGCAAGACCUGGCGCUUGGAGAGGGGCCCGCGUCUGAUUAGCUAGUUGGAGGUAAUGGCCUACCAAGGCAACGAUCAGUAGCCGGCCUGAGAGGGCGGACGGCCACACUGGGACUGAGACACGGCCCAGACUCCUACGGGAGGCAGCAGUGGGGAAUUGUUCGCAAUGGCGCAAGCCUGACGACGCAACGCCGCGUGGAGGAUGAAGAUUUUCGGAUCGUAAACUCCUGUCGAGCGGACGAACACCUGCCGGCUAACAUCCAGGCAGGCUG
Molecule: ribosomal RNA, 459 nt
Filed under: uncultured bacterium
Lineage: Bacteria
Description: bacterial SSU rRNA
Rfam family: Bacterial small subunit ribosomal RNA
Source: RNAcentral